CCUCUUCUGGCCUGUAGGCAUACA
This 24-nucleotide non-coding RNA is filed under the name Cricetulus griseus (Chinese hamster). The record is from RNAcentral. Lineage: Eukaryota; Metazoa; Chordata; Mammalia; Rodentia; Cricetidae.